GAUGAACGCUGGCGGCGUGCCUAAUACAUGCAAGUCGAGCGAACAGACGAGGAGCUUGCUCCUCUGACGUUAGCGGCGGACGGGUGAGUAACACGUGGAUAACCUACCUAUAAGACUGGGAUAACUUCGGGAAACCGGAGCUAAUACCGGAUAAUAUAUUGAACCGCAUGGUUCAAUAGUGACAGACGGUUUUGCUGUAACUUAUAGAUGGAUCCGCGCCGCAUUAGCUAGUUGGUAAGGUAACGGCUUACCAAGGCAACGAUGCGUAGCCGACCUGAGAGGGUGAUCGGCCACACUGGAACUGAGACACGGUCCAGACUCCUACGGGAGGCAGCAGUAGGGAAUCUUCCGCAAUGGGCGAAAGCCUGACGGAGCAACGCCGCGUGAGUGAUGAAGGUCUUCGGAUCGUAAAACUCUGUUAUUAGGGAAGAACAAAUGUGUAAGUAACUAUGCACGUCUUGACGGUACCUAAUCAGAAAGCCACGGCUAACUACGUG
RNAcentral lists this ribosomal RNA (497 nucleotides) under uncultured bacterium. Its description in RNAcentral is "partial 16S ribosomal RNA". It matches the Rfam family "Bacterial small subunit ribosomal RNA", at positions 28 to 507 of the family's 1533-position model. The record is from RNAcentral.